GAAAAUAGGCGGGACCGCGACGCGGGAUGAGAAGGAGUGGAGCAGUCGGGGCGCUCACGUCAGGCAGAGGAGCCUCUCCUAUAGCCACCACCACCACCUGUUCAUGGGGGUUUCUGCCAGGCCACGGCUGAUGAUCACAUAAAGCUCAAGCAUUCUUCUGUCAGCUUGCGGUGAAUGCUGCCAGGCCUAGAACUCACCCUUCAGGGCAGUGGGCUCCCCUCUGGCCCAGGGCAGAUCCAGAAAUGCUGUCAAGAGCCUAAGCCUGGACUCGAG
Molecule: long non-coding RNA, 273 nt
Filed under: Homo sapiens (human)
Lineage: Eukaryota; Metazoa; Chordata; Mammalia; Primates; Hominidae
Description: non-protein coding lnc-LGALS3-1:1
Source: RNAcentral